GAUGAACGCUGGCGGCGUGCCUAAUACAUGCAAGUCGAGCGAACAGACGAGGAGCUUUCUCCUCUGACGUUAGCGGCGUGCGGGGGAGUAACACGUGGAUAACCUACCUAUAAAACUGCGAUAACCUCGGGAAACCGGUGCGAAUACCGGAUAAUAUAUUGAACCGCAUUGUUCAAUAGUAAACGACGGUUUUGCUGGCUCUUAUGGAUUGAUCCGCGCCUGAUUAGCUAGUUGGUAAGGUAACGGCUUAGCAAGGCAACGAUGCGUAGCCGAACUGAGAGGGUGAUCGGCCACACUGGAACUGAGACACGGUCCAGACUCCUACGGGAGGCAGCAGUAGGGAAUCUUCCGCAAUGGGCGAAAGCCUGACGGAGCAACGCCGCGUGAGUGAUGAAGGUCUUCGGAUCGUAAAACUCUGUUAUUAGGGAAGAACAAAUGUGUAAGUAACUAUGCACGUCUUGACGGUACCUAAUCAGAAAGCCACGGCUAACUACGUG
RNAcentral lists this ribosomal RNA (497 nucleotides) under uncultured bacterium. RNAcentral's name for it is "partial 16S ribosomal RNA". It matches the Rfam family "Bacterial small subunit ribosomal RNA", at positions 28 to 507 of the family's 1533-position model. The record is from RNAcentral.